Long non-coding RNA from Cercocebus atys (sooty mangabey), 831 nucleotides. RefSeq lists it as uncharacterized. The record is from RefSeq and is a predicted model, not a curated record. The transcript is spliced from 3 exons. Lineage: Eukaryota; Metazoa; Chordata; Mammalia; Primates; Cercopithecidae.
GUCUUCCUGUCCACCCAGUCGCCCCACAUGUCAGCGGUUGGUCGCCUCGCGGUGCAGCGCUGGGCACGCGAGCCCCUCCCGCAGCCAUUCGCAGCACAAGCACCACCCGCAGCGACAGAGCUAAGAGCCCCCACGCCGCAGAGGUCGCGCGGAGCAGAUUUGAUGGAGUGAAACAGAGCCCAGCUGCUGGAGCAGAGGCACCUGCUUGAGUCCCACGGACACCCGCAGCCCAAUCCCCGGAGGCCAGUGGGGCUCACGGUGACUGAGUUCAAUAUGAUCAGAAUUGAACCAUUUCAAAAAGCAGCGCAAGUGGCAACUGCUAGAAACCAGACUAACUGAGUUUGAUCCCCCUCUUCUGCUCCUUCCCUCUGAUGGAAUUCUCAUUUUCCCUGGCCUCCCGCAUUGACAUUCAUCCAAUGCCCAUGCUGCUGGAUCAGCCUUCCUGGAGCCACAUCCAGCUUGGAAAGAUGAAGGGUUUCCAACCUUUUUGGAGAUGACAAUGUGUUAUCAAAAUCAACAAAUUAAUAGAUUUGCUUCCUUUGUGUAUUUUUUGCAAUGUUCUGUGAGAUAUCAAGCCACUUUCCUGGUAGUUUCUUAUUCAGUAUUUCACUGUACUGCUUUAAUAAAAGAUGGUCAGGCCUCAACCCUAACAGAGUCACUUUCAGAUCUUGUUAAUAAGUUGGGUUUAUAAUGUGAUACAGGUUUUGAGAUGGCCCUGAGAACUUAGGUUUUUCGUAGGCUCUGUGGGCAACUUUCAUGGGGCAGAGGUUUAGAAAGCUGGGAACAAUCUGCCAGGCAUCGAGAAGCCACUAGAUGGCAGGGCCAUCCCUU